UACGGAAGGCAGCAGUGGGGAAUAUUGCACAAUGGGCGAAAGCCUGAUGCAGCUAUGCCGCGUGUAUGAAGAAGGCCUUAGGGUUGUAAAGUACUUUCAUCGGGGAGGAAAAAACAAAACUAAUAAUUUUAUUUCUUGACGUUACCCGAAAAAGAAGCACCGGCUAACUCCGUGCCAGCAGCCGCGGUAAUACGGAGGGUGCUAGCGUUAAUCAGAAUUACUGGGCGUAAAGAGCACGUAGGUGGUUUUUUUAAGUCAGAUGUGAAAUCCCUGGGCUUAACCUAGGAACUGCAUUUUGAAACUGAAAUACUAGAGUAUCGUAGAGGGAGGUAGAAUUCUAGGUGUAGCGGUGAAAUGCGUAGAUAUCUGGAGGAAUACCUGUGGCGAAAGCGGCCUCCUAAACGAAUACUGACACUGAGUGCGAAAGCGUGGGGAGCAAACAGGGAUUAGAUACC
RNAcentral lists this ribosomal RNA (455 nucleotides) under uncultured bacterium. RNAcentral describes it as "bacterial SSU rRNA". It matches the Rfam family "Bacterial small subunit ribosomal RNA", at positions 340 to 786 of the family's 1533-position model. The record is from RNAcentral.